RNAcentral lists this ribosomal RNA (497 nucleotides) under uncultured bacterium. RNAcentral's name for it is "partial 16S ribosomal RNA". It matches the Rfam family "Bacterial small subunit ribosomal RNA", at positions 28 to 507 of the family's 1533-position model. The record is from RNAcentral.
GAUGAACGCUGGCGGCGUGCCUAAUACAUGCAAGUCGAGCGAACAGAUGAGGAGCUUGCUCCUCUGACGUUAGCGGCGGACGGGUGAGUAACACGUGGAUAACCUACCUAUAAGACUGGGAUAACUUCGGGAAACCGGAGCUAAUACCGGAUAAUAUAUUGAACCGCAUGGUUCAAUAGUGAAAGACGGUUUUGCUGUCACUUAUGGAUGGAUCCGCGCCGCAUUAGCUAGUUGGUAAGGUAACGGCUUACCAAGGCGACGAUGCGUAGCCGACCUGAGAGGGUGAUCGGCCACACUGGAACUGAGACACGGUCCAGACUCCUACGGGAGGCAGCAGUAGGGAAUCUUCCGCAAUGGGCGAAAGCCUGACGGAGCAACGCCGCGUGAGUGAUGAAGGUCUUCGGAUCGUAAAACUCUGUUAUUAGGGAAGAACAAAUGUGUAAGUAACUAUGCACGUCUUGACGGUACCUAAUCAGAAAGCCACGGCUAACUACGUG